UUGCUGGCGACCGGCGCACGGGUGAGUAACACGUAUCCAACCUGCCGAUAACUCGGGGAUAGCCUUUCGAAAGAAAGAUUAAUACCCGAUGGCAUAAUUAGACCGCAUGGUUUGAUUAUUAAAGAAUUCCGGUUAUCGAUGGGGAUGCGUUCCAUUAGGCAGUUGGUGAGGUAACGGCUCACCAAACCUUCGAUGGAUAGGGGUUCUGAGAGGAAGGUCCCCCACAUUGGAACUGAGACACGGUCCAA
RNAcentral lists this ribosomal RNA (248 nucleotides) under uncultured bacterium. RNAcentral describes it as "partial 16S ribosomal RNA". It matches the Rfam family "Bacterial small subunit ribosomal RNA", at positions 85 to 334 of the family's 1533-position model. The record is from RNAcentral.